GAUUUUUGUAGAUUUUUUUUGCAGUCUGACUGGAUGAUUAGCGUUUGAACAUAUCAUAGUCGUGUGAGUGAGUCGAUCGUGUGUACCUUCAAUUGUUAAGGCAAAAGAGUUGGAAUGCGGGUCGAUGAUGAUGUGAAAGAUAAUUGGUAUUCUCAGUAUUUCAUUAAACAGAUUGACAUACCAAGCAUUCUGAUAUCGUUGAAAUAUUUGAGGUAUUUUUAGGUGUUAGGUUUUGUGGUUGUAUUAAAACCUGUGAUAUUGCAUACUUUCUGGGAUUCGUAAAGUGCCUCAUCUUUCCACGUGCUGUGUGCUUUUUGAAGCUUUUGAUUUUAUGGUUUUUAUAUAAAUUAUGUAUAAAAUCCUGCACUUUCUCCGAAGCACUUUAAAGAAAUUCUCCCCUGUAUUAUUCAUACUCAUAUUACGAAGUACAAAAAAAUAGUUUGGUUUAAUAAUGCACGUCUCGUUUGCAAAAUAAAUUGGUAUCAUCAUCACGAAAAAUGAUAGACAUACAUGAUGAGCAUCGCCUGCUAAGUAUGCAUUAUUCGAUGAUCUCGUUGACUAUUGAUUUAAUGCCUAUCCAUAAUCCGUUGGUCCAUCCGUUAAUAGAAUGGAGCAUCUUUGAAGGGAAAGCUACUCAAGUUUUUUGUAAAUCCUUGAUCGCAAUCUUCUGCCAAGGGUAUUUCACAUCAUAAUAAAAAAUUAACUGCGCAUAUUGUCAUUAUAUAUUGGACGAGGAAAUCGAAAUUGGUGUUUACGAUCAGAUGAAGAGUCUUGAUAAAGGUUUGAUUGUAUAUUCGCUUUCGCAAACUCUAAGCCGUCAAUCGAAAAAGUUAUCGAUUCUCAAAAGAAAGACGCAGCAGCAGCCUCAUGGAUCCGUUUCAGAAAUCAUCUAAAGUCAUCUGAAGUUUCCAUUUGAUUCGGACGUGCACAUGUAUGAUGUGGUGAUGUAAAUUGUACGUAGACUGCUGCUGACAGGCCUUCAAAAUAGAAUUGACGAGAUACAUAUGCAGAGCGUGGCUUUUAGAUUCGAUGGAUACAUUUAAUAUUUUUGUUGAUGUUCAAACCUUGAUAACAACUUGUAACAAAGUGCUUUGAAUUUACUUACUAUAAUAAAUUCCACUCUGUCAUAAAAUGAA
Folsomia candida is the source of this 1136-nucleotide long non-coding RNA. RefSeq lists it as uncharacterized. NCBI's taxonomy places the organism in Eukaryota, Metazoa, Arthropoda, Collembola, Entomobryomorpha, Isotomidae. The transcript is spliced from 2 exons. The record is from RefSeq and is a predicted model, not a curated record.